UGCAGUCGAGCGAUGACGAGGAGCUUGCUCCUCUGAUUUAGCGGCGGACGGGUGAGUAACACGUGGGCAACCUGCCCUGUAGACUGGGAUAACUUCGGGAAACCGGAGCUAAUACCGGAUAAUCCAUUUUACUUCAUGGUGAAAUGUUGAAAGGCGCUUUCGCGCCACUGCAGGAUGGGCCCGCGGUGCAUUAGCUAGUUGGUGGGGUAACGGCCUACCAAGGCGACGAUGCAUAGCCGACCUGAGAGGGUGAUCGGCCACAUUGGGACUGAGACACGGCCCAAACUCCUACGGGAGGCAGCAGUAGGGAAUCUUCCACAAUGGACGAAAGUCUGAUGGAGCAACGCCGCGUGAGUGAUGAAGGUUUUCGGAUCGUAAAACUCUGUUGUAAGGGAAGAACAAGUACGUUAGGAAAUGAACGUACCUUGACGGUACCUUAUUAGAAAGCCACGGCUAACUACGUGCCAGCAGCCGCGGUAAUACGUAGGUGGCAAGCGUUGUCCGGAUUUAUUGGGCGUAAAGCGCGCGCAGGUGGUUUCUUAAGUCUGAUGUGAAAUCUCGCGGCUCAACCGCGAGCGGUCAUUGGAAACUGGGGAACUUGAGUGCAGAAGAGGAUAGUGGAAUUCCAAGUGUAGCGGUGAAAUGCGUAGAGAUUUGGAGGAACACCAGUGGCGAAAGGCGACUGUCUGGUCUGUAACUGACACUGAGGCGCGAAAGCGUG
Molecule: ribosomal RNA, 721 nt
Filed under: Rummeliibacillus sp.
Lineage: Bacteria; Bacillati; Bacillota; Bacilli; Caryophanales; Caryophanaceae
Description: bacterial SSU rRNA
Rfam family: Bacterial small subunit ribosomal RNA
Source: RNAcentral